GGAGCGGGACGGAUCAUCGCCGCGCACGGCUUGUCCGUGCGGGGAGGAAAGUCCGGGCUCCAGAGGGCGCGGCGCUGGGUAACUCCCAGGGGGAGCGAUCCCCGGAAAGCGCAACAGAGAGCAGACCGCCCCGCACCUACUUUAUGAUUUGUGAGCCUGUGAGUAAUGGCGUUGCACAAGAUAUAAAGUAGGUGCGGGGUAAGGGUGAAAGGGUGGGGCAAGAGCCCACCGGCUGUCGCGGCGACGCGGCAGGCCAGGCAAACCCCGCCGGGAGCAAGACCAAAUAGGGAAGCGUUUGAGGCCGGCCCGGCCGAAGCUUCCGGGUAGGUUGCUUGAGGCCGCGGGUAACCGUGGUCCUAGAGGAAUGAUGAUCGCCCCGCACCUGCUUUAUGUUUUGUGAACCGACCAAAGCUGGCGAUACACAAGAUAUAAAGCAGGUGCGGGGAACAGAACCCGGCUUACAGUCCUGCUCCGGGC
Molecule: RNase P RNA, 477 nt
Filed under: Desulfovibrio sp. OttesenSCG-928-M16
Lineage: Bacteria; Pseudomonadati; Thermodesulfobacteriota; Desulfovibrionia; Desulfovibrionales; Desulfovibrionaceae
Also listed under: 1 other name
Description: RNase P RNA component class A
Rfam family: Bacterial RNase P class A
About the family: Ribonuclease P (RNase P) is a ubiquitous endoribonuclease, found in archaea, bacteria and eukarya as well as chloroplasts and mitochondria. Its best characterised activity is the generation of mature 5'-ends of tRNAs by cleaving the 5'-leader elements of precursor-tRNAs.
Source: RNAcentral